This 510-nucleotide ribosomal RNA is filed under the name uncultured bacterium. RNAcentral describes it as "partial 16S ribosomal RNA". It matches the Rfam family "Bacterial small subunit ribosomal RNA", at positions 28 to 507 of the family's 1533-position model. The record is from RNAcentral.
GACGAACGCUGGCGGCGUGCUUAACACAUGCAAGUCGAACGAAGAGCGAUGGAAGCUUGCUUCUAUCAAUCUUAGUGGCGAACGGGUGAGUAACGCGUAAUCAACCUGCCCUUCAGAGGGGGACAACAGUUGGAAACGACUGCUAAUACCGCAUACGAUCUAACCUCGGCAUCGAGGAUAGAUGAAAGGUGGCCUCUACAUGUAAGCUAUCACUGAAGGAGGGGAUUGCGUCUGAUUAGCUAGUUGGAGGGGUAACGGCCCACCAAGGCGAUGAUCAGUAGCCGGUCGUGGAGGAUGAACGGCCACAUUGGGACCGAGACACGGCCCAGACUCCUACGGGAGGCAGCAGUGGGGAAUCUUCCGCAAUGGACGAAAGUCUGACGGAGCAACGCCGCGUGAGGGAUGACGGCCUUCGGGUUGUAAAGCUCUGUUAAUCGGGACGAAAGGCCUUCUUGCGAAUAGUUAGAAGGAUUGACGGUACCGGAAUAGAAAGCCACGGCUAACUACGUG